This is a long non-coding RNA of Sapajus apella (tufted capuchin), 152 nucleotides long. RefSeq lists it as uncharacterized. The record is from RefSeq and is a predicted model, not a curated record. Lineage: Eukaryota; Metazoa; Chordata; Mammalia; Primates; Cebidae. The transcript is spliced from 3 exons.
UUAUGAAAAAAAAAAGGGGGAGACAUCAAAUCCACAGACCUUUCUAUCUGCUUUUUUAAGCAAUGUUUUGUAUAUUGACUGAAAUGUCAUCAAGCCCUAAAAAUACAUCAUGUUAUGCAACUGCAACUUCUCACUUAACUUCAAGGCUCACU